Molecule: ribosomal RNA, 301 nt
Filed under: uncultured bacterium
Lineage: Bacteria
Description: partial 16S ribosomal RNA
Rfam family: Bacterial small subunit ribosomal RNA
Source: RNAcentral
CAGUCGCCGCGGUAAUACAGAGGGUGCGAGCGUUAAUCGGAUUUACUGGGCGUAAAGCGUGCGUAGGCGGCCUCUUAAGUCGGAUGUGAAAUCCCUGAGCUUAACUUAGGAAUUGCAUUCGAUACUGGGAAGCUAGAGUAUGGGAGAGGAUGGUAGAAUUCCAGGUGUAGCGGUGAAAUGCGUAGAGAUCUGGAGGAAUACCGAUGGCGAAGGCAGCCAUCUGGCCUAAUACUGACGCUGAGGUACGAAAGCAUGGGGAGCAAACAGGAUUAGAUACCCCGGUAGUCCCUGUCUCUUAUAA